AGUAACGCGUGAGGAACCUGCCUCAAAGAGGGGGACAGCAGUUGGAAACGACUGCUAAUACCGCAUAAGCCCACGGCUCGGCAUCGAGCAGAGGGAAAAGGAGUGAUCCGCUUUGAGAUGGCCUCGCGUCCGAUUAGCUAGUUGGUGAGGUAACGGCCCACCAAGGCAACGAUCGGUAGCCGGACUGAGAGGUUGAACGGCCACAUUGGGACUGAGACACGGCCCAG
This 227-nucleotide ribosomal RNA is filed under the name uncultured bacterium. RNAcentral's name for it is "partial 16S ribosomal RNA". It matches the Rfam family "Bacterial small subunit ribosomal RNA", at positions 109 to 334 of the family's 1533-position model. The record is from RNAcentral.